Molecule: non-coding RNA, 45 nt
Filed under: Schistosoma curassoni
Lineage: Eukaryota; Metazoa; Platyhelminthes; Trematoda; Strigeidida; Schistosomatidae
Source: RNAcentral
GUCUAGCUGACGAGUUUCAAAUAGAAUGAAACACAUGUCCUGGAU